UACGUAGGGUGCGAGCGUUUAAUCGGAAUUACUGGGCGUAAAGCGUGCGCAGGCGGUUUGUUAAGACAGAUGUGAAAUCCCCGGGCUUAACCUGGGAACUGCAUUUGUGACUGGCAAGCUAGAGUAUGGCAGAGGGGGGGUAGAAUUCCACGUGUAGCAGUGAAAUGCGUAGAGAUGUGGAGGAAUACCGAUGGCGAAGGCAGCCCCCCUGGGCCAAUAC
RNAcentral lists this ribosomal RNA (220 nucleotides) under uncultured bacterium. Its description in RNAcentral is "partial 16S ribosomal RNA". It matches the Rfam family "Bacterial small subunit ribosomal RNA", at positions 524 to 740 of the family's 1533-position model. The record is from RNAcentral.